RNAcentral lists this ribosomal RNA (253 nucleotides) under uncultured bacterium. RNAcentral describes it as "partial 16S ribosomal RNA". It matches the Rfam family "Bacterial small subunit ribosomal RNA", at positions 524 to 776 of the family's 1533-position model. The record is from RNAcentral.
UACGAGGGGGGCUAGCGUUGCUCGGAAUCACUGGGCGUAAAGCGCACGUAGGCGGCUUUCUAAGUCAGGGGUGAAAUCCUGGAGCUCAACUCCAGAACUGCCUUUGAUACUGGAGAGCUAGAGUCCGGAAGAGGUGAGUGGAACUGCGAGUGUAGAGGUGAAAUUCGUAGAUAUUCGCAAGAACACCAGUGGCGAAGGCGGCUCACUGGUCCGGUACUGACGCUGAGGUGCGAAAGCGUGGGGAGCAAACAGG